CCUACGGGAGGCAGCAGUGGGGAAUAUUGGACAAUGGGGGAAACCCUGAUCCAGCGACGCCGCGUGAGUGAAGAAGUAUUUCGGUACGUAAAGCUCUAUCAGCAGGAAAGAAAAUGACGGUACCUGACUAAGAAGCCCCGGCUAACUAUGUGCCAGCAGCCGCGGGAAUACGUAGGGGGCGAGCGUUAUCCGGAGUUACUGGGUGUAAAGGGAGCGUAGACGGCAGCGCAAGUCUGGAGUGAAAUGCCGGGGUCCAACCCGGGAACUGCUUUGGACACUGUGAAGCUGGAGUGCAGGAGAGGUGAGCGGAAUUCCUGGUGUAGCGGGGAAAUGCGUAGAUAUUAGGAGGAACACCAGCGGCGAAGGCGGCUUACUGGACUGUAACUGACGUUGAGGCUCGAAGGCGUGGGGAGCAAACAGGAUUAGAUACCCUAGUAGUC
Molecule: ribosomal RNA, 440 nt
Filed under: uncultured bacterium
Lineage: Bacteria
Description: partial 16S ribosomal RNA
Rfam family: Bacterial small subunit ribosomal RNA
Source: RNAcentral